Molecule: long non-coding RNA, 810 nt
Filed under: Homo sapiens (human)
Lineage: Eukaryota; Metazoa; Chordata; Mammalia; Primates; Hominidae
Description: HSALNT0335847
Source: RNAcentral
GAGGGUCUCUGAGACAGGUUGGGAGCCAGCCCCACCUCCAUUUCCAAAGCGGGGGUCCAGGCACAGGAACAGCCAAACGCCCGAACCAGCGGGGUUACCUUUGCCACUUCAUCCAAUCCGAGCAUCGGCUGGAAACUGGGAAGUUUGUCAGACAAAGCUCUUCAGGUUACUGGCAAUUUAUGUGCUGGGAGGUGGAUUUGUGGGCAGAGCUCCGGCUGACCUGGUGUUGUCCUGCUAUGGCUACAGACUUCUGACUAUGCUUAUCAGAAAAACUUUCAUUUGGUUCAAGGAUUUUUGCUGACAAGUUUAUUUAAUCCCUGAACCUGGAUCCAAGGCAUCUCCCUGUAGAAAACAUCAGACCGGGGCAGAGAUUGACAAAGCAACCCAAAGCAGCAGCUGCCAACGGCCGCUGUGCCCACCUCAUCAGCAGCUAAAGAGUAUAAUUUUAAAAAAAGUCACAGAAGAAUGUGGAGACACUUAGCAAAACGGACUCUCAUAAGGAGGCUGAUGGACUACAUCCAUGGGGUACUUUGUCCUCUGGCUUCCAAUUAGAUUCAGACAACAGGAAGCAUCAACAGCUAAUGGGAGACGAAGAGGAAAAAUUGGGGUACCUAUUCCCCUAGAUUACUCCCUGCUGAUUGCUGCAGAGGGGCUUCAUCCUUGCCCUGGUUUCUGGAAAACACUCUUUCAUUGCCCAUGCAGGCCUAGGAGUGAUGAUGCCUCACUGGAUGGCAAAGUCUCUUAUUGGUUUCCCUAAAUCUUACUCACAACUUGUAGAUACUCCCUCUAUUAAAUCCUUUUCAGUUACCC